Molecule: long non-coding RNA, 748 nt
Organism: Nyctereutes procyonoides (raccoon dog)
Lineage: Eukaryota; Metazoa; Chordata; Mammalia; Carnivora; Canidae
Exons: 4
Source: RefSeq, a predicted model, not a curated record
ACAGGAUGCUCUACUUACCUGAGCAAAACCUAGCUCACCCACCUUUCUAUCAUGGGGAUUACUGGAGCUGCUACUGAUAGAUUCUAGUCUGCAUGUGCAAAGGAAACCAGGAUUAGAAGGAAUAAUGAAGAUUUGAAGGUGGAAGGAGGAGGAAGACAGUCAACGUCAGGGUGAUGCAAUGUGAAAAAGACCUGAUCAGCUAAGUCUGAAGAGGAAAGGGGGCAUGACCACGGAGUGCAAGCAGCUUCUAGAAGCUGGAAAAGGCAAGAAAACAAAUUCUGCACCUAGAGCCUCUGGAGAGGAACACAGCUGUUGCUGACAUCUUGAUUUGAGCCCAGUGAGAACCCUCUGAACUUCUGAUUUUCAGAAAUUGGUGCUUCCCAAGCUUUUACCACCGUGGUCCAUCAUCUGACUGAAAUGUGGUUCUAAGUGAAGCACACUGCUCCAGGACUGGCUGGACCAGAGCAGAGGACUGCGGGACCUGCAGCUGUCCUGGUUGGGCUCCAUUUGUCCAUUAAAGGAAUCUAAGAUGGCAUUAGCACUUUUAGAAGUCACAUCAAUUACUGGCUGAAACGGAGCUUCCUUUGCAAUGAACACACCGUGGACUGUUUCUUCGCCAAGUGUCCCCUGUCCUAUCCUUGUGCAGCAGCCAGAAUGCAAGCGCAGGAUUUUGCAUUCAUCUUUGUUAAGUUUCAAUCUGUAAAUUCUGACCCAUCCCUCAAGCCAGCUGUUACCCCUGGAACCUUGC